This 119-nucleotide ribosomal RNA is filed under the name Pteropus alecto (black flying fox). The record is from RNAcentral. Lineage: Eukaryota; Metazoa; Chordata; Mammalia; Chiroptera; Pteropodidae.
GUCUAUGGCCAUGCCACCCUGAAUGUGCCCGAUCUCGUCUGAUCUCGGAAGCUAAGCAGGGUCGGGCCUGGUUAGUUCUUGGGUGGGAGACCACCUUGGAAUACCAGGUGCUAUAGGUG